UACAGAGGUCUCAAGCGUUGUUCGGAUUCAUUGGGCGUAAAGGGUGUGAAGGUGGCGCGCUAAAUCGGGUGUGAAAUUUCGGAGCUUAACUCCGAAACUGCAUUCGAUACUGGCGUGCUUGAGGACUGGAGAGGAGACUGGAAUUCAUGGUGUAGCAGUGAAAUGCGUAGAGAUCAUGAGGAAGACCAGUGGCGAAGGCGGGUCUCUGGACAGUUCCUGACACUGAGACACGAAGGCCAGGGGAGCAAACGGG
This 253-nucleotide ribosomal RNA is filed under the name uncultured bacterium. RNAcentral describes it as "partial 16S ribosomal RNA". It matches the Rfam family "Bacterial small subunit ribosomal RNA", at positions 524 to 776 of the family's 1533-position model. The record is from RNAcentral.